Molecule: ribosomal RNA, 253 nt
Filed under: uncultured bacterium
Lineage: Bacteria
Description: partial 16S ribosomal RNA
Rfam family: Bacterial small subunit ribosomal RNA
Source: RNAcentral
UACGGAGGAUCCGAGCGUUAUCCGGAUUUAUUGGGUUUAAAGGGUGCGUAGGCGGCCUAUUAAGUCAGGGGUGAAAUACGGUGGCUCAACCAUCGCAGUGCCUUUGAUACUGAUGGGCUUGAAUCCAUUUGAAGUGGGCGGAAUAAGACAAGUAGCGGUGAAAUGCAUAGAUAUGUCUUAGAACUCCGAUUGCGAAGGCAGCUCACUAAGCUGGUAUUGACGCUGAUGCACGAAAGCGUGGGGAGCAAACAGG